GAUGAACGCUAGCGGGAGGCCUAAUACAUGCAAGUCGGAGCGGUAGAGUGACUUCGGUUGCUUGAGAGCGGCGCACGGGUGAGUAACGCGUACAUGACCUACCUUUAAGACUGGGAUAGCCCUGGGAAACUGGGAUUAAUACCGGAUGUGAUAAUACGUAUAGAGAUGUAUUAUUAAAGUUGAGGCGCUUAGAGAUGGAUGUGCGUCUGAUUAGCUAGUUGGUAGGGUAACGGCCUACCAAGGCGACGAGUCAGUAGGGGCGUGAGACGCGUGGCCCCCCACACGGGUACUGAGACACGGACCCGACUCCUACGGGAGGCAGCAGUAAGGAAUAUUGGUCAAUGGACGGAAGUCUGAACCAGCCAUCCCGCGUGCAGGAUGACUGCCCUAUGGUUGUAAACUGCUUUUAGCAGAGACGAAACGCCUUCAUUUUAUGAGGGUCUGACGGUAUCUGCAGAAUAAGCACGGCUAACUCCGUGCCAGCAGCCGCGGUAA
This 495-nucleotide ribosomal RNA is filed under the name uncultured bacterium. RNAcentral's name for it is "bacterial SSU rRNA". It matches the Rfam family "Bacterial small subunit ribosomal RNA", at positions 28 to 523 of the family's 1533-position model. The record is from RNAcentral.